RNAcentral lists this long non-coding RNA (613 nucleotides) under Trifolium pratense (red clover). Its description in RNAcentral is "long non-coding RNA (TPRA_LNC003126)". Lineage: Eukaryota; Viridiplantae; Streptophyta; Magnoliopsida; Fabales; Fabaceae. The record is from RNAcentral.
AAGAAAAAUAUUUAUAUAUUUUUCUUUUUUGUUUUAUUAAUUUCAUUUCAUUACAAUCAUCUUAGAAUACAAAGACACAAGUACAAUGUUUGUGAAAAUAUAAAAAGAAAUAAUAACAAAUUAUUGGAUGCCAACACAAAUAACAAUUCAUUGAAAUUUAAUUUAAUUUUUAAGAGACCAUACAUAUGGCACUCUCUCUGCAAUACAAUCACAUACGCCUUUUUCGGAGAAAAAUGGCCACUUCUUACAAUAAGGUGAUUUAGGAGUUAAGCAUGUAACUUCUUGACAAUCAGAAUCUUCAGCACACAUACUUGCUGUGAUGAAAAAAAUAUAAAAUAAAAAAGUGUUAUUAAAAUGAGAUAAAAUAAUAUGUAGAAAGUAAAUAAGGAAAUUUGAGAAAGGCAAAAAAUGACAUACUAUCAAAGAUAAAUGCAUCAACAAAUAGAGAAAGACACAUGAUCAUAACAUAAACAAACUUAAUAAUUCCAACUAUAUUGUGACCCUUUUGCAUGUAAGAAAUAAAACAUAAUUUCAUCAUUUUAUAAUUUAAUAAGAUCGUUCUCACUUUAGAUACAUUAAAUAGUUUUAGCACUUAUAUAGAUUUGUAAAAAAA